Molecule: ribosomal RNA, 426 nt
Filed under: uncultured Chamaesiphon sp.
Lineage: Bacteria; Bacillati; Cyanobacteriota; Cyanophyceae; Gomontiellales; Chamaesiphonaceae
Description: bacterial SSU rRNA
Rfam family: Bacterial small subunit ribosomal RNA
Source: RNAcentral
UGGGGAAUUUUCCGCAAUGGGCGAAAGCCUGACGGAGCAAUACCGCGUGAGGGAGGAAGGCUCUUGGGUCGUAAACCUCUUUUCUCAGGGAAGAACACAAUGACGGUACCUGAGGAAUAAGCAUCGGCUAACUCCGUGCCAGCAGCCGCGGUAAUACGGAGGAUGCAAGCGUUAUCCGGAAUGAUUGGGCGUAAAGCGUCCGUAGGUGGUUUUGUAAGUCUGUGGUUAAAGCGCGAAGCUCAACUUCGUAAGGGCCAUGGAAACUACAUAACUUGAGUGAAGUAGGGGUAGAGGGAAUUCCCAGUGUAGCGGUGAAAUGCGUAGAGAUUGGGAAGAACACCGGUGGCGAAAGCGCUCUACUGGACUUAUACUGACACUGAGGGACGAAAGCUAGGGGAGCGAAAGGGAUUAGAUACCCCUGUAGUC